UUACCUGACCAACAAGGUGAAUCAUAUUUUGAUUAGAUCACUUAAUGAUUGUGGUUGACCCAUGCUAACUAGAAAAUCAGUAUGACUGAUUUAGAUGUCUCUAAUUUAACUUGUCUUGAGUUCUCUUUAUGACUUGAUGAAGUCAAGGAGAGGAUUCAUGACUGAUUGGCUGGACCAGCUUAUGCUUGAUCUUCUUUAAUCUGACUUGGUGAAGUCAGUGAGAGGAUUAAGA
RNAcentral lists this long non-coding RNA (232 nucleotides) under Elaeis guineensis (African oil palm). RNAcentral's name for it is "long non-coding RNA (EGUI_LNC076626)". Lineage: Eukaryota; Viridiplantae; Streptophyta; Magnoliopsida; Arecales; Arecaceae. The record is from RNAcentral.